UUCUUUUUUUUCUUGGAAUUAUUUAACAUAUGUUGCAUGUGGAUUGGUUAACAAUGAAAGAUUUAUGUAUGCCCUUGGUUCUCAAGCACCAUCCCAAUACUUUCAGGCCAAUGCAUGAAAUUACAAUAUCAACAAUUGACAAGCCGAAAUUGCUCAGUCAGUUGACGUCCUUACUUUCUGAGAUUGGGCUGAAUAUUCAAGAAGCACAUGCUUUUUCAACAACAGAUGGCUUUUCCUUGGAUGUUUUUGUAGUUGAUGGUUGGGUAAUUGAGGAUACCAAGCAGCUAAAAGAUAUACUGGCAGAAGAAAUAUCAAAGAUUCAGAAAAGGCAUCCUCUAUUCACACCUUGCAUUUUCCAUACUAAGAAGCAAGACAAAUUUGGAGUCAAGUUCACUACAAAGUAUGUCAACAUUCCAAGAGACGAAGUUGAUGCAUGGGAAAUUGAUGUGAGCCUGCUAGUAUUUGAGAAGAAAAUUGCGUCUGGAUCUCUUAGUGACUUGUAUAAAGGCACCUUCUAUGGUCAAGAUGUUGCUAUUAAGCUUUUAAAAAAUGAAAACUUGAAUGAGACUGUCCGGCGGGAAUUUGUUCAAGAAAUUCAUAUCAUGAGAAAACUUCGGCACAAGAAUGUUGUCCAAUUUAUUGGUGCAUCUACCAGGCCUCCAAGCCUUUUCAUUGUUACAGAGUACAUGUCUGGUGGAAGCUUACACGACUUUUUACAUCAACAAAAGGGCGUUCUUAGUUUUCCUUCCUUACUAAGAGUGGCAGUUGAUGUGUCGAAGGGAAUGGACUAUUUGCAUCAAAAGAAUAUCAUCCAUAGAGAUCUAAAAGCUGCAAAUCUUUUGAUGGAUGAAUAUGGGGUUAUCAAGGUAGCUGAUUUUGGUGUUGCUAGAGUGCUAGCUCAAUCUGGUGUGAUGACUGCUGAAACUGGAACAUAUCGUUGGAUGGCUCCGGAGGUUAUUGAGCACAAACCGUACGAUCAUAAAGCUGAUGUUUAUAGCUUUGGGAUAGUGUUGUGGGAGCUGCUUACAGGACAGCUGCCUUAUAAUAACUUGACUCCGUUACAAGCAGCAAUAGGAGUAGUCCAGAAGGGUCUGAGGCCUAAGAUUCCGAGGCAUGCUCAUCCGAUGAUCGUGGAUUUGCUCGAGAAAUGCUGGCUGCAGGAUCCAUCUUUGAGACCCGAAUUCUCUGAAAUUACGAGACUUCUACAACAAACACCACCAAAGGAGGUAGGGAAACGUUGUGUUGAAACUGUUAAAAUUUAUUCAUUUGUUUCUCGGGCACUUACACGUUGUUGGAACAAGAUUAUAUAAUAAGAAACUUGGGAGUGACAGGAACCUUCUGGAAGAUGAUUAAAUAUUCUGGGGUGGAGAAGGACGUUCUAUGGAGGAGAGCCAACAAACAAUAGACGGGGAAUCGAGCAAAUCUUUGCUUAUGGAAAAUCAUGGAUACCUUAGAUAAUGAUAUGAUGUGAGGGGCACACCUCUUUAUAGAUCCGUCCCUGUAAGGAAGAAAGAACUUUACCAUUGACGACUUGAAGAAGAAAAUGAAGAAGAUGUCGGUGAUGGAGUUUUCCGAUGGAGGAUAUGACAAAGUUGAAGAAGAAGGGAGGAACACAAGAGUUAAAGGAGUUUCCACUUCGAGAUCAUGAUAGAGAAAUUAGAGAAUUGAUCUUUUGUAUUGAUGUGAUAAAAAGUAGAUAUAUAUAGAAACAAUUAUUUCUAAA
Cucumis sativus (cucumber) is the source of this 1723-nucleotide RNA transcript. It is a transcript of the gene named serine/threonine-protein kinase STY17, with no coding region annotated. NCBI's taxonomy places the organism in Eukaryota, Viridiplantae, Streptophyta, Magnoliopsida, Cucurbitales, Cucurbitaceae. The record is from RefSeq and is a predicted model, not a curated record. The transcript has 13 exons.